UACGUAGGUGGCAAGCGUUGUCCGGAUUUACUGGGCGUAAAGGGAGCGUAGGUGGAUAUUUAAGUGGGAUGUGAAAUACUCGGGCUCAACCUGAGUGCUGCAUUCCAAACUGGAUAUCUAGAGUACAGGAGAGGAAAGUAGAAUUCCUAGUGUAGCGGUGAAAUGCGUAGAGAUUAGGAAGAAUACCAGUGGCGAAGGCGACUUUCUGGACUGUAACUGACACUGAGGCUCGAAAGCGUGGGGAGCAAACAGG
RNAcentral lists this ribosomal RNA (253 nucleotides) under uncultured bacterium. RNAcentral describes it as "partial 16S ribosomal RNA". It matches the Rfam family "Bacterial small subunit ribosomal RNA", at positions 524 to 776 of the family's 1533-position model. The record is from RNAcentral.